RNAcentral lists this ribosomal RNA (321 nucleotides) under uncultured bacterium. Its description in RNAcentral is "bacterial SSU rRNA". It matches the Rfam family "Bacterial small subunit ribosomal RNA", at positions 390 to 706 of the family's 1533-position model. The record is from RNAcentral.
AGCACGCCGCGUGAGUGAAGAGGUUUUCGGAUCGUAAAGCUCUGUUGUUGGAGAAGAACGUGUGUGACAGUGGAAAGUUUUCCAGUGACGGUAACUUACCAAAAAGGGACGGCUAACUACUUCCCACCACCCGGGGUAUUCCUUAGGUGCCGACCUUUGUCCGGAUUUAUGGGCCUUAAAACAACCGCAGGCGGUUUAUUAAUUCUAAGUUUAAGCGCUCUGCUUAACCCGUUGUUUGCUUUGGAAACUGUUAAACUUGAGUGCAGAAGAGGAGAGUGGAACUCCAUGUGUAGCGGUGAAAUGCGUAGAUAUAUGGAAGAA